GUAGGUGGCAAGCGUUGUCCGGAAUUAUUGGGCGUAAAGCGCGCGCAGGCGGUUCUUUAAGUCUGAUGUGAAAGCCCACGGCUCAACCGUGGAGGGUCAUUGGAAACUGGAGAACUUGAGUACAGAAGAGGAAAGCGGAAUUCCACGUGUAGCGGUGAAAUGCGUAGAGAUGUGGAGGAACACCAGUGGCGAAGGCGGCUUUCUGGUCUGUAACUGACGCUGAGGCGCGAAAGCGUGGGGAGCAAACAGGGAUUAGAUACCCUGGUAGUCCACGCCGUAAACGAUGAGUGCUAAGUGUUAGGGGGUUUCCGCCCCCUCAGUGCUGCAGCUAACGCAUUAAGCACUCCGCCUGGGAGUACGGCCGCAAGGCUG
RNAcentral lists this ribosomal RNA (372 nucleotides) under uncultured organism. RNAcentral's name for it is "partial 16S ribosomal RNA". It matches the Rfam family "Bacterial small subunit ribosomal RNA", at positions 527 to 896 of the family's 1533-position model. The record is from RNAcentral.